This 433-nucleotide ribosomal RNA is filed under the name uncultured bacterium. RNAcentral describes it as "partial 16S ribosomal RNA". It matches the Rfam family "Bacterial small subunit ribosomal RNA", at positions 29 to 507 of the family's 1533-position model. The record is from RNAcentral.
AACGAACGCUGGCGGCAUGCCUAACACAUGCAAGUCGAACGAGACCUUCGGGUCUAGUGGCGCACGGGUGCGUAACGCGUGGGAACCUGCCCUUAGGUUCGGAAUAACUCCCCGAAAGGGGUGCUAAUACCGGAUAAUGUCUUCGGACCAAAGAUUUAUCGCCUUUGGAUGGGCCCGCGUUGGAUUAGCUAGUUGGUAGGGUAAAAGCCUACCAAGGCGACGAUCCAUAGCUGGUCUGAGAGGAUGAUCAGCCACACUGGGACUGAGACACGGCCCAGACUCCGCGGGGAGGCAGCGGGGGGGAUUAUUGAAAAAGGGGCGAAGCCCUGAUCCAGCAAUGCCCGGGGAGUGAGAAGGCCGUUAGGGUUGAAAAGCUUUUUUCCCCGGGAUAAUAAUGACAGUCCCGGAAAAAAAGCCCCCGGCUAACCCCGUC